This is a long non-coding RNA of Mesocricetus auratus (golden hamster), 1528 nucleotides long. RefSeq lists it as uncharacterized. The transcript has 2 exons. Lineage: Eukaryota; Metazoa; Chordata; Mammalia; Rodentia; Cricetidae. The record is from RefSeq and is a predicted model, not a curated record.
CCCACCCUACCCCUCUGCACCACUACUCACUGCAGCAGAAUCCUGGAUGGCCUUCCACCCAAAUAAGGUCAGGGUUAUGUAUCCCGUCCCUUCCAUCAGGAGGACCCUCUACUGACACACCAGCAAAUGCAGGCUCUUCGGUGAUUCACGGCUCAUUUAUCAGCUUAUUUAUUUGGUCUUUUGAAGCCUGGACAAUCAGUUCCUCACAUUGCAGCCUGUAAGCAGAAGGGGCACGAAGCCAUUUGAAACUCAACAGCAAAUGUAUCCUUUCCCAGAUGGCAAGAGCCCUUCACUUCCCGAGGAAUAAAGGCUGUCUCCAUUUCCGAGGUGCCCUGGGACCCCAGCAGCCUGCAGAGCCCCUGCAAUGCAGGAGGUAGAAGCAGCUGUGUGGGUCUGAUGUCCUCCCAGCUGCACCCCAUGCCCGGGACAGCCCCAGUCUCCCUCCCUCACUUGUGUGACACUUGGGAACUGGGUUGGGCUGGUUGGUUUGCUUACUGUGUGAGGCGUCUGCACUCCUGGAGCCAAGCUUCCUAUUGCACGUCCAUAUUUGGAACCCGCCCGCCUGCCUUCCUGCAGAACACCGUGUACCGCUGCCUCUGCCUGGCGUCACCCCACGUCCCACAACACACCAGGAACAGCCUGUGGCAGAAGAACAAGCCCCUUGUCUCAGCUGAUCCCUCCCAGACACCGGCAGAGCCCUGACAAGUGAACCCCCUGCUCUUAUCUGCUGCGGCCAUCUGCUUCUGGCCUCUGCAGCUUGGAGGUGUGGUUCUGGAAGGAUUCCUUUCUUCUGGUGAACCGGCUCAUGCCUUCAGCUGCUGUGUCCACUGCUGGACUGAGAAGGGUGUGUCUGAGCACCAUGGCCCUGAGUGUCGCUAACAGGGAUGGCUUUUCACAGCAUAAGGCUAGAAGACCGGGCUGAGAGAAGGACAUCCCAGGACCCGCAGGAGCGAGGGUGACAAAGGUGAGGGGAAGGGGCAGAGCCACACAGGUGAUCGGAAGUGACCCUGAAAGAACCAAUAGGAAGGGGAUAUUUAUGUGACCUGGAAGUGUCCCUGCAGACUGCCCCUUCUUUACUUGCAAGAGAGAAAAUUCUACCUUAUGGAGUGGAAGAACAUGAUGGACCCUAAGCAGGUGACCAAAUCUAACAUCAGCCUCUUCGGGCUUCAGGCAUCCAACACUUCUGCAAAUGACUGAGGCACACAGUGUCACUCUUGUAACAUUCCAGCUCAGAGGGAGGUCAGAGCCCAGUGUGAGCCUGAGGAGAACAGGACACACCCCACUGAAGGAAUGGUCUGUAAAAUAACUCAUCUAUUUCUUCUCAAGUUCCAGAGUUACAGAUGUAAACGAAAGGAAAGCUGCCUGGUAUGAUGGUCUGCAUCUAUGAUCCCAGCACCCAGAAAGACCAUGAGUUCAAGGCCAGCCUGGGCUACAUGAUCAUUCUGUCUCUAACACAAACCAACAAAUAAAUGACAAACCCAACUAACAAAACAAAUGGGGGAAGUAUAAUAAAAACCGCUAAAGCAGA